RNAcentral lists this unclassified non-coding RNA (345 nucleotides) under soil metagenome. RNAcentral's name for it is "partial contains 5.8S ribosomal RNA, internal transcribed spacer 2, and large subunit ribosomal RNA". The stretch from base 1 to 119 matches the Rfam family "5.8S ribosomal RNA", at positions 35 to 154 of the family's 154-position model. The record is from RNAcentral.
GAUGAAGAACGCAGCGAAAUGCGAUACGUAAUGUGAAUUGCAAAUUCAGUGAAUCAUCGAGUCUUUGAACGCACAUUGCGCCCCCUGGUAUUCCGGGGGGCAUGCCUGUCCGAGCGUCAUUGCUGCCCUCAAGCACGGCUUGUGUGUUGGGCCCCGUCCUCCGAUCCCGGGGGACGGGCCCGAAAGGCAGCGGCGGCACCGCGUCCGGUCCUCGAGCGUAUGGGGCUUUGUCACCCGCUCUGUAGGCCCGGCCGGCGCUUGCCGAUCAACCCAAAUUUUUUAUCCAGGUUGACCUCGGAUCAGGUAGGGAUACCCGCUGAACUUAAGCAUAUCAAUAAGCGAGGA